AAAAAGAAAGGGUUGAGAGGAAUGAAGGAGGUGAGUAAGGGUUUGGGGUUAUUUUUUUUAAUUUUGAGAAUGAAAAUUAUUAAAAUAAGACAAGUGUUUUUUUAUUUUUUUCAAUUAGAGAAAAUGUUGGAGUGAAAGAGAUGAAAGAGAAAGGUUGAGAGGAACCAGAGAGGUGGAUAAGGGAUUCAGGGUUUCUUUUUUUUAUUUUUUUAAUUUUGAGNAUGAAAAUUA
Molecule: long non-coding RNA, 231 nt
Filed under: Vigna radiata
Lineage: Eukaryota; Viridiplantae; Streptophyta; Magnoliopsida; Fabales; Fabaceae
Description: long non-coding RNA (VRAD_LNC010640)
Source: RNAcentral